Molecule: ribosomal RNA, 443 nt
Filed under: uncultured bacterium
Lineage: Bacteria
Description: partial 16S ribosomal RNA
Rfam family: Bacterial small subunit ribosomal RNA
Source: RNAcentral
CCUACGGGUGGCAGCAGUGGGGAAUAUUGGGCAAUGGGCGCAAGCCUGACCCAGCAACGCCGCGUGAAGGAAGAAGGCUUUCGGGUUGUAAACUUCUUUUGUCAGGGACGAAGCAAGUGACGGUACCUGACGAAUAAGCCACGGCUAACUACGUGCCAGCAGCCGCGGUAAUACGUAGGUGGCAAGCGUUAUCCGGAUUUACUGGGUGUAAAGGGCGUGUAGGCGGGGAAGCAAGUCAGAUGUGAAAACCACGGGCUCAACCUGUGGCCUGCAUUUGAAACUGUUUUUCUUGAGUGCAGGAGGGGCAGGCGGAAUUCCUGGUGUAGCGGUGAAAUGCGUAGAUAUCAGGAGGAACACCGGUGGCGAAGGCGGCCUGCUGGACUGCAACUGACGUUGAGGCCCGAAAGCGUGGGGAGCAAACAGGAUUAGAUACCCUUGUAGUC